RNAcentral lists this ribosomal RNA (459 nucleotides) under uncultured bacterium. Its description in RNAcentral is "partial 16S ribosomal RNA". It matches the Rfam family "Bacterial small subunit ribosomal RNA", at positions 338 to 795 of the family's 1533-position model. The record is from RNAcentral.
CCUACGGGAGGCAGCAGUGAGGAAUAUUGGUCAAUGGCCGGGAGGCUGAACCAGCCAAGUCGCGUGAGGGAAGACGGCCCUACGGGUUGUAAACCUCUUUUGUCAGGGAGCAAGGUGCAGGUCGGGACCUGCUGUUAGAGUACCUGAAGAAAAAGCAUCGGCUAACUCCGUGCCAGCAGCCGCGGUAAUACGGAGGAUGCGAGCGUUAUCCGGAUUUAUUGGGUUUAAAGGGUGCGUAGGCGGACUGUUAAGUCAGCGGUAAAAGCCCGGGGCUCAACCCCGGCGAGCCGUUGAAACGGGCUGUCUGGAGAUGUCGAGAGGUAUGCGGAAUGCGCAGUGUAGCGGUGAAAUGCUUAGAUAUUGCGCAGAACUCCGAUUGCGAAGGCAGCAUACCGGCGGCGAUCUGACGCUGAGGCACGAAAGCGUGGGUAUCGAACAGGAUUAGAUACCCGAGUAGUC